Molecule: non-coding RNA, 871 nt
Organism: Salmo salar (Atlantic salmon)
Lineage: Eukaryota; Metazoa; Chordata; Actinopteri; Salmoniformes; Salmonidae
Source: RefSeq, a predicted model, not a curated record
GAGAAGCAGAGAGACAGAGAGAAGCAGAGAGACAGAGGGAGGCAGAGAGAGUCACAGAAGCGAAGGAGAACCAGAGAAAAAUGCAGGAGAUCAAGAGAGUCAAACAUCUGCUGGAGCUACUGAUGGUGGAUCUACAACUGGCCCACCAAGAGAUAGAGAGAUUGAGGCUAUGGCAGAAAGUCAUGGAGGAUCAGCGACCAAGACUGGCCUGGAACAACAAACCUAUUGAGACAGAAAGAGAGAGGGAAAGAGAGAGGAAAGGAGAGAGAAAGGGAGAUGGAAAGGGAGAGAAAAGCAGAAUUGGAAAGACAAGAAAUGAAGAAGAAAGUGAAACAGGCAGAAGAAACGAUAAAAGCGUUAGAACGAGAGAUUGAGAGAUUGAAAGAGAUGGAAAAGGAAAUCAUACUUGAAAGAGAAAGAGACAUGUGUAUUGCAGAGAAUGAGAAAGUCAAACUGGUUAACGGAAAGGUAAAAGAGUUAGAGAGAGAGGUUGAGAGACUGAAAGAAGAUAUGACAACAAAAGAGAUUCAAUACAAAAUCAAAUUUGAAAGAGCGAAAGAAGCAUAUAGAAGACAGAAUGAGAGAGUGAAACAGGUUAACCAAAAUGUGCUAGUGUUAGACAGAGAGGUUGUGAGAAUGAAAGAAGAGAUUAGAUUGAAAGACGAGACUGAACCAGAGAGAACAUUUGAUAGAGACAGAGAGAGAGAAAAUGAUUGGAGACGAAGAGAAGAGGAGAUGAAAAAUAGAGUGGAGAGAGAGAUGGAGAUGGAGACAGCCCUCAUCAAUGACAAAAAGACGUCUGAAUUGGAGGAAGUCUUCAAGAAAAUCAAGGUACAGCUGAUAGAAUUAGAAAAUAUGGAAACAGACGAAA